Molecule: ribosomal RNA, 492 nt
Filed under: uncultured bacterium
Lineage: Bacteria
Description: partial 16S ribosomal RNA
Rfam family: Bacterial small subunit ribosomal RNA
Source: RNAcentral
AGUGAACGCUGGCGGUAGGCCUAACACAUGCAAGUCGAACGGCAGCACAGUAAGAGCUUGCUCUUACGGGUGGCGAGUGGCGGACGGGUGAGGAAUACAUCGGAAUCUACUUUUUCGUGGGGGAUAACGUAGGGAAACUUACGCUAAUACCGCAUACGACCUACGGGUGAAAGCAGGGGAUCUUCGGACCUUGCGCGAUUGAAUGAGCCGAUGUCGGAUUAGCUAGUUGGCGGGGUAAAGGCCCACCAAGGCGACGAUCCGUAGCUGGUCUGAGAGGAUGAUCAGCCACACUGGAACUGAGAAACGGUACAGACUCCUACGGGAGGCAGCAGUGGGGAAUAUUGGACAAUGGGCGCAAGCCUGAUCCAGCCAUACCGCGUGGGUGAAGAAGGCCUUCGGGUUGUAAAGCCCUUUUGUUGGGAAAGAAAAGCAGCAGGUUAAUACCCCGCUGUUCUGACGGUACCCAAAGAAUAAGCACCGGCUAACUUCGUG